Molecule: ribosomal RNA, 108 nt
Filed under: Carlito syrichta (Philippine tarsier)
Lineage: Eukaryota; Metazoa; Chordata; Mammalia; Primates; Tarsiidae
Source: RNAcentral
UUCUACUGCCAUGCCACCCUGAACGCGCCUGAUCUCGUCUGAUCUCGGAAGUUAAGCAGGGUCAGUCCUGGUUAGUACUUGAAGGGGAGAAUAUCAACAGGAAAGAAA